This 63-nucleotide transfer RNA is filed under the name Thyropygus sp. DVL-2001. Its description in RNAcentral is "tRNA-Asp". Lineage: Eukaryota; Metazoa; Arthropoda; Diplopoda; Spirostreptida; Harpagophoridae. The record is from RNAcentral.
AGAAAAUUAGUUAAAACAUAACAUUAACCUGUCAUGUUAAAAUUAUCCCCAAGAUAUUUUCUU